ACGCACGCUGGCGGCAGGCUUAACACCUGCCAGUCGAACGGAUCCUUCGGGAUUAGUGGCAGACGGGUGAGUAACGCGUGGGAACGUACCCUUUGCUACGGAAUAACUCAGGGAAACUUGAGCUAAUACCGUAUGUGCCCUACGGGGGAAAGAUUUAUCGGCAAAGGAUCGGCCCGCGUUGGAUUAGCUAGUUGGUGGGGUAAUGGCCUACCAAGGCGACGAUCCAUAGCUGGUCUGAGAGGAUGAUCAGCCACACUGGGACUGAGACACGGCCCAGACUCCUACGGGAGGCAGCAGUGGGGAAUAUUGGACAAUGGGCGCAAGCCUGAUCCAGCCAUGCCGCGUGAGUGAUGAAGGUCUUAGGAUUGUAAGGCUCUUUCACCGGUGAAGAUAAUGACGGUAGCCGGAGAAGAAGCCCCGGCUAACUUCGUG
RNAcentral lists this ribosomal RNA (432 nucleotides) under uncultured bacterium. RNAcentral's name for it is "partial 16S ribosomal RNA". It matches the Rfam family "Bacterial small subunit ribosomal RNA", at positions 29 to 507 of the family's 1533-position model. The record is from RNAcentral.